ACACGACUACAUUAGAUACCCGUGUAGUCCAGGGUGUAAACGCUGCGGGCUUGGUGUUGGGGGGUCCCUUUGGAGGCGCCCAGUGCCGGAGAGAAGUUGUUAAGUCUGCUACUUGGGGAGUACGUCCGCAAGGAUGAAACUUAAAGGAAUUGGCGGGGGAGCACCGCAACGGGAGGAGCGUGCGGUUUAAUUGGAUUCAACACCGUAAACUCACCAGGGAAGACUGUUACAUGAAGGCCGAGAUGAAGACUCUGCUAGAUUUUCAG
This 266-nucleotide ribosomal RNA is filed under the name uncultured archaeon. RNAcentral's name for it is "partial 16S ribosomal RNA". It matches the Rfam family "Archaeal small subunit ribosomal RNA", at positions 719 to 982 of the family's 1478-position model. The record is from RNAcentral.